CAGAGCCGCCGCUCGGAUAGCGUCGGCUCUGCAUGAGCCGACCGGGGAGAUCCAGAGAUCUCCCCUGCCGGUCUCAAUCCAUUGGCGUGCCGCAGGGAUUAGGGUGUGCCCAGGCACACCCGACACACCCCGUGCGCACGCCUAUAGAAGUGAGGGAUGGGGGAGACAGCCUACAUGAAGAGUCAGCAAGGAGCAGGAAGGUAAGGUAAGAAAAGGAGAAGGAACAGAAAUGAGCAGGAAGGGACAUCAAGGAGCAGAAAGGGGCAGCAAGGAGCUGGAAGGGACAGCAAGGAGCACAAAAGGUAAAGUAGGAGAAGGAGCACAAAGGAACAGAAAUGAACAGGAAGGGUCAGCAAGGAGCUGGAAGGUAAAG
Non-coding RNA from Pelobates cultripes (western spadefoot toad), 373 nucleotides. NCBI's taxonomy places the organism in Eukaryota, Metazoa, Chordata, Amphibia, Anura, Pelobatidae. The record is from the annotation of a GenBank genome assembly.